RNAcentral lists this ribosomal RNA (250 nucleotides) under uncultured bacterium. RNAcentral's name for it is "partial 16S ribosomal RNA". It matches the Rfam family "Bacterial small subunit ribosomal RNA", at positions 524 to 773 of the family's 1533-position model. The record is from RNAcentral.
UACAGAGACUGCAAGCGUUAUUCGGAUUCACUGGGCGUAAAGGGUGCGCAGGCGGCCGGGUGUGUCAGAUGUGAAAUCCCGAGGCUUAACCUCGGAACUGCGUCUGAAACUACUCGGCUAGAGUAUUGGAGAGGGUAACGGAAUUCACGGUGUAGCAGUGAAAUGCGUAGAUAUCGUGAGGAACACCAGAGGCGAAGGCGGUUACCUGGACAAUUACUGACGCUCAGGCACGAAAGCAUGGGGAGCAAAA